GACGAACGCUGGCGGCGUGCUUAACACAUGCAAGUCGAACGGAAAGGCCCUGCUUUUGUGGGGUGCUCGAGUGGCGAACGGGUGAGUAACACGUGAGUAACCUGCCCUUGACUUUGGGAUAACUUCAGGAAACUGGGGCUAAUACCGGAUAGGAGCUCCUGCUGCAUGGUGGGGGUUGGAAAGUUUCGGCGGUUGGGGAUGGACUCGCGGCUUAUCAGCUUGUUGGUGGGGUAGUGGCUUACCAAGGCUUUGACGGGUAGCCGGCCUGAGAGGGUGACCGGCCACAUUGGGACUGAGAUACGGCCCAGACUCCUACGGGAGGCAGCAGUGGGGAAUAUUGCACAAUGGGCGGAAGCCUGAUGCAGCAACGCCGCGUGCGGGAUGACGGCCUUCGGGUUGUAAACCGCUUUCGCCUGUGACGAAGCGUGAGUGAAGGUAAUGGGUAAAGAAGCACCGGCUAACUACGUGCCAGCAGCCGCGGUGAUACGUAGGGUGCGAGCGUUGUCCGGAUUUAUUGGGCGUAAAGGGCUCGUAGGUGGUUGAUCGCGUCGGAAGUGUAAUCUUGGGGCUUAACCCUGAGCGUGCUUUCGAUACGGGUUGACUUGAGGAAGGUAGGGGAGAAUGGAAUUCCUGGUGGAGCGGUGGAAUGCGCAGAUAUCAGGAGGAACACCAGUGGCGAAGGCGGUUCUCUGGGCCUUUCCUGACGCUGAGGAGCGAAAGCGUGGGGAGCGAACAGGCUUAGAUACCCUGGUAGUCCACGCUGUAAACGGUGGGUACUAGGUGUGGGGUCCAUUCCACGGGUUCCGUGCCGUAGCUAACGCUUUAAGUACCCCGCCUGGGGAGUACGGCCGCAAGGCUAAAACUCAAAGGAAUUGACGGGGCCCCGCACAAGCGGCGGAGCAUGCGGAUUAAUUCGAUGCAACGCGUAGAACCUUACCUGGGUUUGACAUGGAUCGGGAGUGCUCAGAGAUGGGUGUGCCUCUUUUGGGGUCGGUUCACAGGUGGUGCAUGGCUGUCGUCAGCUCGUGUCGUGAGAUGUUGGGUUAAGUCCCGCAACGAGCGCAACCCUUGUUCACUGUUGCCAGCACGUUAUGGUGGGGACUCAGUGGAGACCGCCGGGGUCAACUCGGAGGAAGGUGGGGAUGACGUCAAGUCAUCAUGCCCCUUAUGUCCAGGGCUUCACGCAUGCUACAAUGGCUGGUACAGAGAGUGGCGAGCCUGUGAGGGUGAGCGAAUCUCGGAAAGCCGGUCUCAGUUCGGAUUGGGGUCUGCAACUCGACCUCAUGAAGUCGGAGUCGCUAGUAAUCGCAGAUCAGCAACGCUGCGGUGAAUACGUUCCC
RNAcentral lists this ribosomal RNA (1340 nucleotides) under uncultured bacterium. RNAcentral describes it as "16S ribosomal RNA". It matches the Rfam family "Bacterial small subunit ribosomal RNA", at positions 28 to 1375 of the family's 1533-position model. The record is from RNAcentral.